Molecule: ribosomal RNA, 253 nt
Filed under: uncultured bacterium
Lineage: Bacteria
Description: partial 16S ribosomal RNA
Rfam family: Bacterial small subunit ribosomal RNA
Source: RNAcentral
UACGAAGGGGGCUAGCGUUGUUCGGAAUUACUGGGCGUAAAGGGCGCGUAGGCGGUACUUCAAGUCAGGCGUGAAAGCCCCGGGCUCAACCUGGGAACCGCGCUUGAGACUGGAGAACUAGAGUUCGGGAGAGGAUGGUGGAAUUCCCAAUGUAGAGGUGAAAUUCGUAGAUAUUGGGAAGAACACCGAUGGCGAAGGCAGCCAUCUGGACCGACACUGACGCUGAGGCGCGAAAGCGUGGGGAGCAAACAGG